UAUGACUGUGUUGUCUUUCAGGAGUUUUUCAAUAACUCGCAGGAAACUUCUCCAUAAUUUUACCUGGCACUGAAGUAAGACUGACAAGCUUGUAAUUACCAGGGUCUUCUUUCUUGCCCUUCUUGAAAACUGGGACAUUUACCAGGUUCCAAUUAGUUUGAAGAAAAUAUAUA
Oxyura jamaicensis (ruddy duck) is the source of this 173-nucleotide long non-coding RNA. RefSeq lists it as uncharacterized. The transcript is spliced from 3 exons. The record is from RefSeq and is a predicted model, not a curated record. NCBI's taxonomy places the organism in Eukaryota, Metazoa, Chordata, Aves, Anseriformes, Anatidae.